GAGUUUGAUCAUGGCUCAGGAUGAACGCUGGCGGCGUGCUUAACACAUGCAAGUCGAACGGGCGAAUUAUAUCGGAGGUCUUCGGGCCAAAGAGAUAAUAAGCUAGUGGCGGACGGGUGCGUAACGUGUGGGUAAUCUGCCUUUGUCAUAGGAAUAACUGCUUGAAAAAGUAGCUAAUACCAAAUAACAUAUCGUAUAGGCAUCUAUAAGAUAUCAAAGAGAAAUCGGACAAAGAUGAGCCCGCAUCUGAUUAGCUGGUUGGUAGGGUAAAAGCCUACCAAGGCGACGAUCAGUAGCCGGCCUGAGAGGGUGAACGGCCACAUUGGAACUGAGACACGGUCCAAACUCCUACGGGAGGCAGCAGUGGGGAAUAUUGCACAAUGGGGGGAACCCUGAUGCAGCAACGCCGCGUGAGUGAAGAAGGCUUUCGAGUCGUAAAACUCUGUUGUAAGGGAAGAUAAUGACGGUACCUAAAA
This 476-nucleotide ribosomal RNA is filed under the name Filifactor villosus. Its description in RNAcentral is "bacterial SSU rRNA". It matches the Rfam family "Bacterial small subunit ribosomal RNA", at positions 9 to 484 of the family's 1533-position model. Lineage: Bacteria; Bacillati; Bacillota; Clostridia; Peptostreptococcales; Filifactoraceae. The record is from RNAcentral.